CCCGCUGAACUUAAGCAUAUCAAUAAGCGGAGGAAAAGAAACUAACAAGGAUUCCCCUAGUAACUGCGAGUGAAGCGGGAAAAGCUCAUAUUUAAAAUCUGGCGGUCCUUGUGGCUGUCCGAGUUGUAAUCUAGAGAAGAGCUAUCCGCGCUGGACCGUGUACAAGUCUCCUGGAGAUGGAGCGUCAUAGAGGGUGAGAAUCCCGUCUUUGACACGGACUGCCAGGGCUUAUGUGAUACGCUCUCGAAGAGUCGAGUUGUUUGAGACAUGCAGCUCAAAAUGGGUGGUAAAUUCCAUCUAAAGCUAAAUAUUGGCGAGAGACCGAUAGCGAACAAGUACCGUGAGGGAAAGAUGAAAAGAACUUUGGAAAGAGAGUUAAACAGUACGUGAAAUUGUUGAAAGGGAAACGCUUAAAGUCAGUCGCGUCGUCCGGGGAUCAACCUUGCAUUUCUUUUGCUGGGCGUACUUUCCGGUCGACGGGUCAGCAUCAAUUUUGACCGUUGGAUAAAGCCUUCGGGAAUGUGGCAUCCUCGGAUGUGUUAUAGCCCGUGGUCGCAUACAACGGUUGGGAUUGAGGAACUCAGCACGCCGAAAGGCCGGGUUUGUACUCCACGUUCGUGCUUAGGAUGCUGGCAUAAUGGCUUUAAUCGACCCGUCUUGAAACACGG
This 668-nucleotide ribosomal RNA is filed under the name uncultured fungus. RNAcentral's name for it is "eukaryotic LSU rRNA". It matches the Rfam family "Eukaryotic large subunit ribosomal RNA", at positions 24 to 664 of the family's 3401-position model. Lineage: Eukaryota; Fungi. The record is from RNAcentral.